GACGAACGCUGGCGGCGUGCUUAACACAUGCAAGUCGAACGGUGAAGCCCUUCGGGGUGGAUCAGUGGCGAACGGGUGAGUAACACGUGAGCAACCUGCCCCUGGCUCUGGGACAACCACUGGAAACGGUGGCUAAUACCGGAUACGACCCGCCUCGGCAUCGAGUGUGGGUGGAAAGUUUUUCGGCUGGGGAUGGGCUCGCGGCCUAUCAGCUUGUUGGUGAGGUGAAGGCUCACCAAGGCGACGACGGGUAGCCGGCCUGAGAGGGCGACCGGCCACACUGGGCCGGAGACAGGGCCCGGCUGCCGACGGGGGGCAGGGGGGGGAAAUUUUCCAAAAGGGGCGAAAGCCUGAGGCACGGACGCCGGGUGGGGAAGGGCGGCUUUCGGGUUAAAAACCUUUUUCACCUCCGAAGAAGCGAAAGGGACGGGAGGAGCAAAAAGAGCACCGGUAAACCAAGG
RNAcentral lists this ribosomal RNA (461 nucleotides) under uncultured bacterium. Its description in RNAcentral is "partial 16S ribosomal RNA". It matches the Rfam family "Bacterial small subunit ribosomal RNA", at positions 28 to 506 of the family's 1533-position model. The record is from RNAcentral.